Long non-coding RNA from Lolium perenne, 655 nucleotides. RefSeq lists it as uncharacterized. NCBI's taxonomy places the organism in Eukaryota, Viridiplantae, Streptophyta, Magnoliopsida, Poales, Poaceae. The record is from RefSeq and is a predicted model, not a curated record.
CACCCUUGCACCCAGUUCAACGGUGCGCGGCGUUGUGGGAUCCAGCGGAGGUCGUGAUGGCGGAAGGCAGUCCGAAGCUAGCCAUGGUACCCCCGAUGCUAUGAGGUGACACAACCCACUAUGACGUUGUUGCAAACUCUGCUGCAUCUGGGGUACUUGCUUCUGAUAUGGCAUAGUCGCAUGGAUGAUGGAGUUGGCUGCGCAGAAAUUGGGCUAGAUGCACGAAUACGACCAAUGUGGCGAUGGCCAUUCCUCGGAUGUCUUCGACGAAAGCGGCGAGCGGGUGAAUAGGAUAUGCAUAUGGUGGAGCUGACUAAAAUGUCUUCCUCCAUAUCAGAGAGUCUGUUGCAACUUCUCCAAUUGGUAGUGAAUCGACAGAAGGAGCAUCAACAGAAGGAGCUUGAACGAACUGUUGAUCGAGAGGAAAUAUCCUGUUGGCUGAGCUCCGUCUCCUCCAUCCGGAAGAUCCCGCCGUGCUCCUCGAGCCAGAGCUGCUGGGCCAACAGACCCGCCCAGAUCUCGCUAGGAAAACGGUCUGAAGAUGGCUCUAGGGUAAUUCAGGUUUUGAUGAUACCGCUCUAUACCGAAGACUAUUUGGAUUUUGAUGUAUCCAAGCAAUACUCCUUGCUGUCCUCCUCUCAGUUAUUCAGGUAAU